AUAAAUGCCGUGAACGGGAAGAGUACAAUACAACGCCUUUAGAGAGGGGAACCAUUAGCUGAGAGGUUGUCCAGGAUGGUUGUUAUUGGAAGGUCGCCCGGGAUGCAGCUUCCUUGAAAUGGAGUAAAGGAAGCCGGUUUACAGCCGUUAAAACAUUCGAGUGUGCAGAUUGGAUGUGUCCGUCUGUAAACAAAGGUGGUACCACGGAAAUUCAGCCCUUUUCGUCCUUUAG
RNAcentral lists this non-coding RNA (232 nucleotides) under Sediminibacillus halophilus. RNAcentral's name for it is "T-box sequence". It matches the Rfam family "T-box leader". Rfam says of the family: Uncharged tRNA acts as the effector for transcription antitermination of genes in the T-box leader family. T-boxes are found upstream of many aminoacyl-tRNA synthetase genes and some amino acid biosynthetic genes usually in Gram-positive bacteria. The record is from RNAcentral. Lineage: Bacteria; Bacillati; Bacillota; Bacilli; Caryophanales; Bacillaceae.